This 207-nucleotide long non-coding RNA is filed under the name Mytilus galloprovincialis (Mediterranean mussel). Lineage: Eukaryota; Metazoa; Mollusca; Bivalvia; Mytilida; Mytilidae. The record is from RNAcentral.
UAAAAAGUAAAAUCACAAAAAUACUGAACUCAGAGGAAAAUCAAUUUGGAAAGUCCAUAAUCACAUGGCAAAAUCAAAUAACAAAACGCAUCAAAAACGAAUGGACAAGAACUGUCAUAUUCCUGACUUGGUACAGGCAUUUUCAAAUGUAGAAAAUGGUGGAUUAAACCUGGUUCUAUGGCGCUAACCUUCUCACUUUAAUAACAG